RNAcentral lists this ribosomal RNA (365 nucleotides) under uncultured Smithella sp. RNAcentral's name for it is "bacterial SSU rRNA". It matches the Rfam family "Bacterial small subunit ribosomal RNA", at positions 1014 to 1382 of the family's 1533-position model. Lineage: Bacteria; Pseudomonadati; Thermodesulfobacteriota; Syntrophia; Syntrophales; Smithellaceae. The record is from RNAcentral.
CCCUUCGGGAGGCCAGGAGACAGGUGCUGCAUGGCUGUCGUCAGCUCGUGUCGUGAGAUGUUGGUUAAGUCCCGCAACGAGCGCAACCCUUGUCUUUAAUUGCCAUCAUUCAGUUGGGCACUUUAAAGAGACUGCCGGUGUUAAACCGGAGGAAGGUGGGGAUGACGUCAAGUCCUCAUGGCCUUUAUGCCCAGGGCUACACACGUGCUACAAUGGGUGGUACAGAGGGUUGCCAAGCCGCGAGGUGGAGCCAAUCCCAGAAAGCCGAUCGUAGUCCGGAUCGGAGUCUGCAACUCGACUCCGUGAAGUCGGAAUCGCUAGUAAUCGUGGAUCAGCAUGCCACGGUGAAUACGUUCCCGGGUCUU